This 495-nucleotide ribosomal RNA is filed under the name uncultured bacterium. RNAcentral describes it as "bacterial SSU rRNA". It matches the Rfam family "Bacterial small subunit ribosomal RNA", at positions 903 to 1397 of the family's 1533-position model. The record is from RNAcentral.
AAAGGAAUAGACGGGGGCCCGCACAAGCGGCGGAGCAUGCGGAUUAAUUCGAUGCAACGCGAAGAACCUUACCUAGGUUUGACAUAUACGAGAAGCCUCUAGAGAUAGAGGUCUCUUUGGACACUCGUAUACAGGUGGUGCAUGGCUGUCGUCAGCUCGUGUCGUGAGAUGUUGGGUUAAGUCCCGCAACGAGCGCAACCCUCGUCUUAUGUUGCCAGCACGUAAUGGUGGGGACUCAUAAGAGACUGCCGGGGUCAACUCGGAGGAAGGUGGGGAUGACGUCAAGUCAUCAUGCCCCUUAUGCCUAGGGCUUCACGCAUGCUACAAUGGCCGGUACAAAGGGCUGCGAUACCGCAAGGUGGAGCGAAUCCCAAAAAGCCGGUCUCAGUUCGGAUUGGGGUCUGCAACUCGACCCCAUGAAGUCGGAGUCGCUAGUAAUCGCAGAUCAGCAACGCUGCGGUGAAUACGUUCCCGGGCCUUGUACACACCGCCCGU